UUUUUCAGCCAAGAAUGCAGCUGCCUGUGGACCUCCAGCUCCAUUUCAAAUCCUGGUUGCUGUUUCUGUUCCCCUGACUCUAAAUGAUUUAUCCCUGUUGCAAUCUAGGGCACCUGAGAAGGAACAACACAAUUGGUACAAAGCUGGGUUUCGUAUUCAAGAUAAUAACAUUUGGCUUUCACCAGAUGGACGACCUGUGGCUCCUUCUACGUUGGUGUCCCAAUUGGCUACCAUUACCCAUGGAUUAGGACAUAUGAACAAAAGGGGGGUAGCGGACCAGAUUCUGAAGCAUUGUCUCUCCUCUCAGGUUGCAGAAGCCUUACCUGUCCCAACUGAUGUGCCUUGCCAUGAUGUGCAACCAGGAAAUUGGGUCCUGAUA
This is a non-coding RNA of Pelodiscus sinensis (Chinese soft-shelled turtle), 379 nucleotides long. The record is from RefSeq and is a predicted model, not a curated record. NCBI's taxonomy places the organism in Eukaryota, Metazoa, Chordata, Testudines, Trionychidae.